Molecule: ribosomal RNA, 497 nt
Filed under: uncultured bacterium
Lineage: Bacteria
Description: partial 16S ribosomal RNA
Rfam family: Bacterial small subunit ribosomal RNA
Source: RNAcentral
GAUGAACGCUGGCGGCGUGCCUAAUACAUGCAAGUCGAGCGAACGGACGAGAAGCUUGCUUCUCUGAUGUUAGCGGCGGACGGGUGAGUAACACGUGGAUAACCUACCUAUAAGACUGGGAUAACUUCGGGAAACCGUAGCUAAUACCGGAUAAUAUUUUGAACCGCAUGGUUCAAAAGUGAAAGACGGUCUUGCUGUCACUUAUAGAUGGAUCCGCGCUGCAUUAGCUAGUUGGUAAGGUAACGGCUUACCAAGGCAACGAUGCAUAGCCGACCUGAGAGGGUGAUCGGCCACACUGGAACUGAGACACGGUCCAGACUCCUACGGGAGGCAGCAGUAGGGAAUCUUCCGCAAUGGGCGAAAGCCUGACGGAGCAACGCCGCGUGAGUGAUGAAGGUCUUCGGAUCGUAAAACUCUGUUAUUAGGGAAGAACAUAUGUGUAAGUAACUGUGCACAUCUUGACGGUACCUAAUCAGAAAUCCACGGCUAACUACGUG